AAUCUUCCGAGGAUGCUGAAAUUUCUCUUUUCAAAGAGCGCCGUAUUGGCUGGGAAUCUACUUGGGGCAGCCCGGUGUCACGGUGUGGCAGCUUCAAUGAUACAACCACACUGUCUCCUAUGUACUUUACGCACUGCGCACCUAGUGUCAUCGCAUCCUACAGGACCGAUGCCUUGCAGAUCUACUCCUUCAAAAUCUGUGACCUAAAUGACAACUUGAAGUGGCCACUCUAUGUGUAUGGCGUGGUGGCUGCUCGAGAUGAUGUGGACUGUAACCGCAACCUUCUCUUCUGUCGCUCCAGGGCUAACUGCCAAGUAGUCACAGAAAAGGAUCCUGUUUUGCACUUGACUGGCCCUUCUCGUGCAAUUGUGGCUGACGAACCUGUUGACUUUGAAGUCGAACUAAAGAUAAAUUGUGGAACAGAUCAGUCCCAAGAUAAAGCAUUGAUCAGUUCUAC
Long non-coding RNA from Triticum aestivum (bread wheat), 457 nucleotides. RefSeq lists it as uncharacterized. The record is from RefSeq and is a predicted model, not a curated record. The transcript has 3 exons. NCBI's taxonomy places the organism in Eukaryota, Viridiplantae, Streptophyta, Magnoliopsida, Poales, Poaceae.